UACAGAGGGGGCAAGCGUUAUUCGGAAUUAUUGGGCGUAAAGGGCGCGUAGGCGGCCUGACAAGUGGAAGGUGAAAUCCCUCGGCUUAACCGAGGAACUGCCCUCCAAACUGUUUGGCUUGAGUCCGGGAGAGGUGAGUGGAAUUCCCAGUGUAGCGGUGAAAUGCGUAGAUAUUGGGAGGAACACCAGUGGCGAAGGCGGCUCACUGGACCGGAACUGACGCUGAUGCGCGAAAGCGUGGGGAGCGAACGGG
This 253-nucleotide ribosomal RNA is filed under the name uncultured bacterium. RNAcentral describes it as "partial 16S ribosomal RNA". It matches the Rfam family "Bacterial small subunit ribosomal RNA", at positions 524 to 776 of the family's 1533-position model. The record is from RNAcentral.